This 462-nucleotide ribosomal RNA is filed under the name uncultured bacterium. RNAcentral's name for it is "partial 16S ribosomal RNA". It matches the Rfam family "Bacterial small subunit ribosomal RNA", at positions 28 to 507 of the family's 1533-position model. The record is from RNAcentral.
GACGAACGCUGGCGGCGUGCUUAGCGCAUGCAAGUCGAGCGGUAAGGCCUUUCGGGGUACACGAGCGGCGAACGGGUGAGUAACACGUGGGUGAUCUGCCCUGCACUUCGGGAUAAGCCUGGGAAACUGGGUCUAAUACCGGAUAUGACCUCCUAUCGCAUGGUGGGUGGUGGAAAGAUUUAUCGGUGCAGGAUGGGCCCGCGGCCUAUCAGCUUGUUGGUGGGGUAAUGGCCUACCAAGGCGACGACGGGUAGCCGACCUGAGAGGGUGACCGGCCACACUGGGACUGAGACACGGCCCAGACUCCUACGGGAGGCAGCAGUGGGGAAUAUUGCACAAUGGGCGAAAGCCUGAUGCAGCGACGCCGCGUGAGGGAUGACGGCCUUCGGGUUGUAAACCUCUUUCAGCAGGGACGAAGCGCAAGUGACGGUACCUGCAGAAGAAGCACCGGCUAACUACGUG